This 503-nucleotide ribosomal RNA is filed under the name uncultured bacterium. RNAcentral describes it as "partial 16S ribosomal RNA". It matches the Rfam family "Bacterial small subunit ribosomal RNA", at positions 29 to 507 of the family's 1533-position model. The record is from RNAcentral.
AACGAACGCUGGCGGCGUGCCUAACACAUGCAAGUCGAACGAGAAAGGGGCUUCGGCUCCGAGUAAAGUGGCGCACGGGUGAGUAACACGUGGGUAACCUGCCUCUAAGAUUGGGAUAACUCGUCGAAAGAUGAGCUAAUACCGAAUAAGACCACAGUUCCCGCGGGAACAGGGGUCAAAGGUAGCCUCUGCUUGCAAGCUAUCACUUAGAGAUGGGCCUGCGCACCAAUAGCUAGUUGGUAGGGUAACGGCCUACCAAGGCAAAGAUGGUUAGCUGGUCUGAGAGGAUGAUCAGCCACACUGGAACUGAGACACGGUCCAGACUCCUACGGGAGGCAGCAGUGGGGAAUAUUGCGCAAUGGGCGAAAGCUUGACGCAGCAACGCCGCGUGAGUGAUGAAGGCCUUCGGGUCGUAAAGCUCUGUCGGGAGGAACGAAUGCUCCUGAGGUUAACAGCCUCGGGAGGUGACGGUACCUUCAAAGGAAGCACCGGCUAACUCUGUG